GUGCGCAAUGCUGCCAAACUAUACCAACUUCCGUUCCAACGGAUGUAUCACAAACACGACUACAAUAGCCUUAGUUCAAGAAACAAAAGCCAAUUGACAGUAAAUUAGGAGUUCGGUGAAUAUUUUCUCAAGACGAAAAUGUCUAUGUGAACCAGCUCAAUGGUGGUGAUUUUUAUGGCGCUAGUUUGUUCUUGGAAACAACCGGUUACCGAUGAUGACGAUUACAAGUCAAACUGACACCCCAAUAUAGCUCUCGAGAUUUGGAAAGACUAACUUAACAAAUCAAAUAUAAAUUAUAAAGAUUGUCAGAGGUGGAUGGGGCUUUACUGAACAUUAAAUGAAGUACCUUUUGAAUAUCGUUCCACUGACAAAUGGAUACAUAUACUGGGAUCAAGCGUUCAUACAGUUGUAGAAUAAGUAUAUAGGACAUUGAAUUGUUUACAAAGAAAAACUUAAAAAAGCUAUUAUGAAGUUCAAUACAGUUAAUGAUGGGCUUCGAAUGAAUUAAUUGUUAAGAAUCAAGCUACUUGGUUUCCAAUUAUUAAUAUUUCCAAAACGAAAAAGGAAAUGCAUACUGGAUGUUCAUGAGUCAUCGCUGUUAUUCCUAAUCUUUGCAACAUAAAGAUUUCGUUUUUUAAUACGAAUGAGGAGAAUGGGCAAAACGACUAGGGAUAUUGUGCCAAACAAACGAUUUAAUUCAGUAAUGUUGAUUCAAGUUUCGUGGCAGAAACACAUUGAUAACCUUAUAAGCUUAAAUAACACAUAGAUUGAUAUUCGUUCCAACAUUUUCAUAGCUACAUCGCUAAUCAUUACAUCGAGCAAAGCUCUUUUCAAAUGUACAGUCGUCUGAUUCCUUCCAACGUAAACAAAUGUACAUUGACUUGCUGUCCCACUGGGAGGUCCUUUUUUCCCUUAAUAUUUACUAGCGUAUAAUAUCAAGCUCCCAUGGGAUCAUAAAAACCAAUUUACAAAAAGACAGAAGAAAGAUGAGACGGAUGAGACGAAUGAGAUAAUCGGGAUAUAUACGGUACCGUCCUCGUAGAAAUGAAAGAAAGUAACGCUUAUGCAAAGUAUUGCAGAGUCUUAGAUUUGCGCAUUUGUACUUCCAAUAUACCAUCCAUAAAAUGUUCAUGAUUAAUUUUAGUAUCACCUUGACGAAGAGCAAUCAUACCCGCUUCAACGCAAACGCUCUUCAACAUGGCACCAUUAUAUUCAUCUGUACUUCUCGCCAACUCCUCCCAGUUAAUAUCGUCGUCAAUGGCCAUUUUACGUGAAUGAAUGCGUAAAAUACCAACACGAGCUUCUUCAUUGGGAAGAGGAAAUUCGAGUUUUCGGUCCAGACGACCAGAACGUAACAGAGCCGGAUCCAACGUAUCUACACGAUUUGUAGCAGCAAUCACCUUGACACGGUCAUCACUACUAAAACCAUCGAGUUGAUUGAGGAGCUCCAGCAUAGUACGUUGGACUUCACGAUCACCGGCUUUUUCAGAAUCAAAACGCUUGGUACCAAUAGCAUCUAAUUCAUCAAUAAAUAUAAUGGCAGGGCUUUUUUCUUUGGCCAAGGCGAAAGCAUCGCGAACGAGUUUAGCGCCAUCACCAAUAAACAUUUGAACAAGUUGAGGAGCCGCAAGUUUUAGGAAUGUAGCAUUGGACUGGGCAGCACAGGCACGAGCUAAUAAGGUCUUACCAGUGCCAGGGGGACCAAACAUCAAACAUCCCUUGGGAGGUUUCACGCCAAGUUUACGGAAUUUAUCAGCCUGCUGCAUGGGCAAAACGAUGGCUUCAAACAGUUCUUCUAUUUGUUUUGAUAAACCACCAAUAUCUGAAUAACGCUCUGUGGGUUUUUCGUCUACUUCCAUAGCCUUAACACGGCUAUCAUACUCUGAAGGUAAUUUAUCAAUGAUCAGGUAAGAAUCUUUGUUGACACCAAUAAGAUCACCCGGAUGAAGCUCUUCAGGUUCAACAAGACCGAUUAAGGGAAGGAAGAUGGUUUGACGAGUAGAUGUCUUAAUAACGGCUGACUUGCCAACACGAGUAGCCUCAGAGUUUUGGUUAGCUGAUUCUUGGACAUCAACUUCAUCAGGUUGCAUAUCUAAAAUUUCAACAACGUUUCCUACCAAAUAAGGUAGCAUCUUAUUAUUCGAAAUUUUUUCUUGGUUUUCUUUGAUUUUUUCGAGCAUGGUGCUCUUUUCAUGAGUUAAUCUUUGAAACUCGGAUUUCAUAACCUACAAUCUAUGUUAGUGAAUUUUACUUCUAGAAAAGAACAUUCGACCGCAUUCAUCUUUCCACCUUCAUUUAAGGAUGAGGGCAAAACAUUAUCAGAUCUUCGUUCUCUGUGAAUAAAGAAAUUAUAAAAGAAAAAGAUUUCGGUUUUCCCAACACUUAUCUAGAGGUUCAUUGAAUGACUUACCUUAAUAUCAUUUUCCAACAAUCGUGUCCGACUAUUCAAUUCAUCUAUACCGGCGGCCAAAAUUUCUUGUUCAAUUCCAUCCAAACCUUCAUUAUUGGAGGAUCCUCCCUGCUGGGAUUGAUCUAGCGCGUCUAAUUCUUCGAGAGUUGACAUGUGUGUUCCGGUUAGGUUAAAACGACUAAGGCGUGUACUCCUAUAGCAUCAUAAAAAAGUGUAGAUUUUUAUACAUGAUUAUUAUUUUUUUU
Non-coding RNA from Schizosaccharomyces pombe (fission yeast), 2655 nucleotides. NCBI's taxonomy places the organism in Eukaryota, Fungi, Ascomycota, Schizosaccharomycetes, Schizosaccharomycetales, Schizosaccharomycetaceae. The record is from the annotation of a GenBank genome assembly.